CCUUCGGGUUGUAAAGCUCUUUCAGCUGGAAAGAAACGGUAGAGGUUAAUAACCUUUGCUAAUGACGGUACCAGCAGAAGAAGCACCGGCUAACUACGUGCCAGCAGCCGCGGUAAUACGUAGGGUGCGAGCGUUAAUCGGAAUUACUGGGCGUAAAGCGUGCGCAGGCGGAUUGUUAAGCAAGAUGUGAAAUCCCCGGGCUUAACCUGGGAAUGGCAUUUUGAACUGGCAGUCUAGAGUGCGUCAGAGGGGGGUGGAAUUCCACGUGUAGCAGUGAAAUGCGUAGAUAUGUGGAGGAACACCAAUGGCGAAGGCAGCCCCCUGGGAUGACACUGACGCUCAUGUACGAAAGCGUGGGUAGCAAACAGGAUUAGAAACCCUAGUAGUCC
This 389-nucleotide ribosomal RNA is filed under the name uncultured bacterium. RNAcentral's name for it is "bacterial SSU rRNA". It matches the Rfam family "Bacterial small subunit ribosomal RNA", at positions 415 to 796 of the family's 1533-position model. The record is from RNAcentral.